Molecule: unclassified non-coding RNA, 209 nt
Filed under: uncultured Ascomycota
Lineage: Eukaryota; Fungi; Ascomycota
Description: sequence contains ITS1
Source: RNAcentral
CUGAGGUCGAUCCCCUGUCAGGGGGUUACCCGAUCUAUGUCAUCAGCACUCUCCGUGGGGCCCACGUGGCCCCGCGGCGAGGGAUUCCUUUCGGCGGAGGGUCUGCGGCAUGGCCCGCUGGGGAGAGAUCCCCUGCGGCCCGUACCGCUGGCCGCCGUCGGCCCCACAAUUCGUCCAACAUGAAGUUUGUGACCUAUAGAAAAUAUACA